Molecule: ribosomal RNA, 480 nt
Filed under: uncultured Cytophagales bacterium
Lineage: Bacteria; Pseudomonadati; Bacteroidota; Sphingobacteriia; Sphingobacteriales
Description: bacterial SSU rRNA
Rfam family: Bacterial small subunit ribosomal RNA
Source: RNAcentral
GAUGAACGCUAGCGGCAGGCCUAAUACAUGCAAGUCGAGGGGCAGCAGUAUCUUCGGAUAGCUGGCGACCGGCGCACGGGUGCGUAACACGUAUGCAACCUACCUACUACAGGAAGAUAGCCUCCGGAAACGGUGAUUAAUAUUCCAUAGUACCACUGAAUCGCAUGGUUUAGUGGUUAAAGUUCCGACGGUAGUAGAUGGGCAUGCGUCCCAUUAGCUAGAUGGUGAGGUAACGGCUCACCAUGGCAACGAUGGGUAGCGGGUCUGAGAGGACGAUCCGCCACACUGGUACUGAGAUACGGACCAGACUCCUACGGGAGGCAGCAGUAGGGAAUAUUGGGCAAUGGGCGAAAGCCUGACCCAGCCAUGCCGCGUGAGGGAAGACUGCUUUCUGAGUUGUAAACCUCUUUUAUCAGGGAAGAACAGGGAUUACGUGUAGUCCUAUGACGGUACCUGAUGAAUAAGCACCGGCUAACUCCG